Monomorium pharaonis (pharaoh ant) is the source of this 10415-nucleotide long non-coding RNA. RefSeq lists it as uncharacterized. The transcript is spliced from 2 exons. Lineage: Eukaryota; Metazoa; Arthropoda; Insecta; Hymenoptera; Formicidae. The record is from RefSeq and is a predicted model, not a curated record.
AGAGAGAGAGAGAGAGAGAGAGAGAGAGAGAGAGAGAGAAAGAUGGAAGGCGGCGGAGCUGACAAACGAUUACAAAUCGUCCCGGUGACAAAUCGCCGGUAUUACUACUUCGCGCACUUUUAGCGCGGCUGGCUGACUGGUUGGUUGGCUGGCUACCUAACGUCCGUUGUGUCGCCCACGUAAACCGCGAUGAAACGCGUCGACGGCGACGUGUCCGACAAUCGAGCGAGAUGAAUACGCGAACGACGUGCUCUCACCUUAUUCGCAUCAUUUUCAUAUACAAGAGGUACAACAAUAGCAUUACGUCUCUCGAUAUAAGAGACCUUACAACUUUAUUACGAUGUUAUUCCGAUGUUCUUCUAAAUUAUGAUUAACCUUUAAACCAAACUGUUGUUCAUCAUCAGCCGAAUCCUUUGGUCAUUCACAUCCGCGUUUCAUUAAAUCAUUUUAAUAGGCUCAGAAAAUUUCAAACGAAUCAGGAAAAUUUAUUGAAGUGUAAACUUCAAAUGUCCCAACCGUUGAUUGUAAUAAAAGUUUAUUCUUAAUUUUUAUUGUUUUAUAUAAGGGGAAAACACUAGAAAAAUCUCGGGUAGUUGAAGUCGCUUAAACAAAAAUGAUCCAAAGAUUUGAUUUGAGGGUUAAAUCACGUGUCAGUGUAAUCAGAAAUAAUUUCGCACCGUAAUAAAAAGAGAUUUCGAAAUCACGUAGUUUUAAACAAUUAUUAAAUUAUCUCGCAGACACUGAGGCAGCGUGAGAUCAUAAAAGUUAAAUGAGCAGCUCAAUAAAAAUAUUGAAUUAUGGAGCAUGACAAGUCAAUACCAAGAAAGUAUACUUUUAUAUUCAAUAGCGGGCUCCGCUAUCGUAUCACGACUGAGAAAUCGCUUACAAUUUCUCAGGCGCAAUUCGUCAGCGUGAAAGCGCUUUUUGUGUCGGUAGAUAGCCUGAUAGAUGUGCCGCGAUAUGCAAACGCGAAUAUUCAUGUCCGUAUAGCGCGCGAACAUUUUUCGCGAUGUCCGCUGAUGCUCGUUUCGUUACAUUGACAUGUACCACCCACGUAAUCCAUCGCUCACGAUACGUUUAACGGUACGGAUGGAUGCAUGACGCCCGUAUAUACGCGCGCACGCGUUCUCUGUAUGCAAAAUAGCAAAACUACUGAUAGCACGUGUCGCGCUACAUCUGUACGAUUAUUAUUGCUAUUUCCGUCGCACAAUUACUGCAAUUUCCAGAAAUCAUUAUCGCUGAUAAUAUCAAAACCUGCAUUAAUAAACAAUCAUACAAUCACAACUACAUAUAGACUGUCAUUAUUCAUAUGUUUUACAAUCUAUAUGUUAUUAAUAUUAUAUGUUGCGAUAUCGCGUUACAAAUAAAUUACGAUCAAGAAACGUUAACUAAUUCAUUGUACAUUGUAAUUUAUUGUACACUGAUAUCGACUAAUAAUUUUCCAAUAUUAAUUGUUAAUUUAUUGUACACUGAUAUCGACUAAUAAUUUUCCAAUGUUAAUUGUUAAACAUAUAGAUCUUUUAAAUGUACGUUCCUUGUUUGUAAAGUAACGUGAAACGAGAGAUAUCGACUUUCCUAGCGAGGUCGUGUAACCCCAGGGUAGCCAUCGUGGCGCCUAAAGGAACGUUCCGACGUCGACGAAGUCUAGGGUGAAGGCUGAGGUCGAUUACAUCAUCAGACAUAUAUCGAUGACGUCGCGAUUGUUCCUUAAAGCGAUCGUAAAACUAAUUAAAAAUAUUUUUAAAAUGUCUAUUUGUAAAUCGCUAUAUAAACGUGCUUUUUAUUUGUUAAAAAUAAUAAUUUUACAAGGAAAGAUUCACAACACACACACAAGCGCGCGCGCGCGCACAUAAUUCGCGAAUUUUGGAAAGUUCGAUAUAGAGUUUGAUGUCGUAAAUGUAACUUUCAGGUGCUAAUGAAUCAAAGAGUUAGAGUUACAAGAUUUUAAAGUUUGGAAUUGACUGCACGCAUGACAGAUAUUACAGCGAGUGGCAGAAGCUUUACAGAAUCAGUUUAGCCAUAGUGUUAGCUCUCUUGAACUUGCAGCUUUUACAAACAGUAUACAUUUAAGAGAUAAUUGUAUAUGUUUAUAUCUAAUCAUUUUAAAUAAAUCUUUUUCAAUUUAUUUUUAUUUUCUUAAAUAAAUAAAUUUAGAAAAUAUGUUUUGUCUUUUAGAAUUUAGAACACAAGAAAAAUAAAUAUUAAAGAAAAAAAAGAGCUAUAAUUAGUCAUUCUCAAGCAAUAAAGAAAAAAAAACCUUGUAACUCUUUGAUCUUUGGCCUAAAUGUUACAUAUUAUUUUUGUAAUAUUAAAUUCUUUAUUAUAUUAAACUUUCCAAAAUACGAGUCUCUCUUGUUAAAGUGAAAGAUUUUCCAAGUAUAGAUUAAACCGAUAAAGUUAAGGAAUAUAGAGUAAUCAAGAUGAAAUAAAUUCUAUUAUAUAUUUGUCAUCGAUUUCAUUAAUAUUUUGCAUCACACUGUUGUCUUAUGUAGGACAUGUCAAAAUGUUUCAUGAUGCAAUAACGUUUAUAUAAUCACUCAGUAGCGUGCGUCAUGGGACCGUUUUGUGUAAAAAGGAAAGUUUGCUGGUAAACUUUGUAAUCUCAAAUGCACGGUUCAUCUUAUCUUUCGUUCCUUGCGACAACGAAGUACGGCCGGCCCACGAGGACAAUCGUGAUUUACGUUUUGAUUUAGGUACUGGAUUAAGACAGCACGUUUGAAAGGAUUGUUUUGUCAGAUUUAUCGGAAUUUCUCCCGAAUGAGAGAAGGAAAUGGAAACAAGGAAAAAGAGAAGAGGAAAGAUCUUAGAAUAUACAUACUGAAUUUAGUGAACUCUGUUUAAUCGGUAAAAUGGAUUAUAAACAGAAUGAUUUAUAAACAGUCGGAUUUGAAACAGAGACGGUGAACGUAGCGUUAAAAAUAUCUAUAUUCAUCAAUUAUUAGUGAAAAUGAGAUCCUGAAUAAGUAUCGCAAGAGUUCAUCUUCUCUCUCUUUCUUUCUCUCUCCCUCUCUCUAUUUCAAAAAUUUCUCUUGGUCUUUUAUGACUAAAGAUUGUGGUCUCCAUUUGAUUCAUGCUCAUAUACAUCGUUCAUGAUGACUGUUUUGACAAAGAUACUCUUGGCUUGCCAUUAUUUUCAUAGAGACACAAUAAUCAAUUAAAAUUCGGAUAUAUUCUGAAUGGAUUCGAAUCUGGAUCCUUGACAUAGAGAGCAGACGCGUAACUCUUGCGCCACAAUCAUCACAUAUAAAAAUAAAAUAUAUAAAAUUAAAUUUGUUCAACGAUCUUGUCACAAAGACUGAAAAUUCUAGUUCUUAGUUAGCUCUUGGUGCAAAUAGCAUGAUAUGAAAUUCAAUAAUUCACUUUCAGCGGCAGAAACUGUCGGUCGAUAUGAAUAUUAAAUUUAUCAUCGCUUCCUAUCCAUGGCAUGCUGUACGUGUAGAAUAAGUCAAUUGGCAGCUAAUGGUUAUCGAUCUAUUUUUAUUAUAUAAUCAAUUUUUUCAUGUGCCAGAUUUAAUUCAAAUUAAUUCUCUGAUGCUUGGUAUAUUGUUACUUUUCCCGUGCUCCACAAUAUUUAUAUAUAUAUUUUUCAGAAAUUUCAGCACAAUAUAAUGAGAAAUUAAUAAAGUUUGUAAAUAAAUUGUUGAAACAAAAUUAUAGAAAACAAAACUCAGUUGCAAUAUACAAAACUCGGUAGUUCGAAGCUGCGUAAACUAGGUAUCGUGAAAAUUUUCCAGUUUCAAUUCACUGUUUCUAUUUCUUCUCUCUUUCCCUUUCUCAUACUCUCACUCUUUCCCUCUCCUCUCUCUAUACUACAUUUAAUUCAUCUGAGUUUACGGGAAACCACUCGACUGAUGUCCGGUAUUGUUCGUUCGACACUCACUUGUUAAUGAACUUUUCCCUCAGAAUUCUAAAACUAAUACAAUCGCCAAAUUGAAUUUCAUUUACGUUCAACAGUUUACUCUACUUGCAUUCUGUUUCUGCGGUGUUUUAUCGAAUAAUAAGAAAAUUAUUAACGCGAAAUUAUAUGCGGGAACUUGACGUGGGUAAUAUGGAAGGUAUUUGGUGCACGAUUGACUUUAGAAUGUAUACACAUAUGCAUGCACUGAAAAGCUUAAUUAAUCAAUAACAACCUGUUAAUUAUUUAGUGGAGAAUGUGCGCACGUAAACGAAUGAGUCGCGGUGGGAGUGAGGAAUUACGUGCGAUGAAAUCGAUUGUCACGCUUAUGACGCCAGCCGCAUAACAACGGCGUUUACCCAUUAAUCUCCAACGAAUAAGAUAUGAAAACCGGUCCUACAUCUACAUCUCUAUCGGGCGUGAUAACAGUUUCAAACAUAUCCAAUAAAUCAUUUCGAUCGUCAUUAAUAAUCCGUUACGCGUUAUCUCAGGUUACGCGAUAAGAUCUUUCAUUGGCUUUUUAUUUCUGAAGGAUAUCAUUAUUUCUCGUGAUUUUCAAUCUCUGAGGAAUAAUCGAUCGUUCACGAGUACUCUUUAAAAGAUAUCUACUGUCGAAAGAACGAUAGUAUUUAUUUUAAUAGAAUCUCCGUCGCUCUCACGAGCUUAUUUUUAUAUCAAUCGGUGAAGAUCAGUUCUCGACAAUAAAAUUGUGUUAAUCCCCCCAUUCGCGCUCUAUUUCUUUAUCUCGCCAUUUUUGCGCAAGUUAGGAGAAAUGACAUCUACAAAGGCGACAUUUUCACAAUGGGGCAGCAGAUGUUGUAUCUGGCUUAAAGCACGGCUGACACGUAAAUCGAAUUCGCUCAGGUCAUGAUAAUUUAUCGCUUCCUUUUCGCCUCGCUUCCGACGUUUCGGCGAGCGCGAUGAGAACAAGGGAAAUGUCGGAAUUUGUUUUUUGACACCUUUAAUCAGCAGCUGCAUAUCGUUUCACAGACUGAAGCGUAAGAGCAUAAAGCAUAAAAAGAUGACAUUAUCGAUUUCUUUUGUCACUUGAUUUGAUAUUUGCUCUCAAAAAAGUCGUAAAAUCAUGAAAUGUGCCAUAACAAAAAAUGUGUCGCUUAAAAUAAUAUCAUAUAAAUUGUAUAAAUUAUUUCAAUUGAAUAAUUAAAAAUGGCAAACCGUAUAUUUUUAUAUUAAUAUAAAAAUAUACGGUUUGCCAUUUUUUCUUAGCCUUAGACUAUUACGUUUUGUCCUUUAGUUGUCAUUAAAAAAAUAAAACUUUAUAAUAAACUGAAUAUAGAAAAUCCUAAUAGAUAAUAAUAGAGUUUUGUUAUCAGUAUGUGUAUUAUUUGCAAAAUCAAUGAAUUAUAUAGUAUCUACUAUAAGUAUUGUGAUAAUUCAAUGGAAAAGUUUUCUCGUUAUUUCAGAAAUAUAUAUGUACAUUGUGGAAAAUUAUUAUCCCAGUUUUCCUCAUUUCUCAUAUCUUCAUAAUGAAGCUUUAAAUAAAAGUUUUCUUUAAAAUGUUAACAGACCAAAUUAGAUUUCUUAUCAAUGCAAUUUACAAUUUUGAUAUUUGACAAGUAGCUUUUGCUCACAAGUAAAAGAUAGACUCGGUAAAUUUACACGUCGCGACGUUAGAAGACAAACUAUUUUUAGCUACCUCACCGGCAGCCGCAAUAAAAUAAAUCUGCAAGGGAAACAUGAAAUCGAAGUUUAGUGUGAAUUGUAGCAUGAAUAGCGCUAGUUAGCAGCACGAGUGCUACUUCUAUUAUAUUUACGUGAAAAUUACGGGCGCAUUGUAGAACGAUCGAUGCAUCGCUUGCAUCGUCAAUCGAGCAGAGUUAUAAAUGUUUUCUUUCUCAUUGAUCGGCGCUGCGCAAGUCACACGUGACUCUACGAACUAAUAAGCGAGUUAAAUGCCAAUUGCGAUAAAAGCGCGACGUCAAGUAGAAAAGAGGAGCCGUUGCAGCUGUGUAUUCGCGGAAAGUUAGUUAAUUAACGCCCGGCGCUUGUAUCGCCAGACGUACAUCGGAGUUUUAUGCUCUCGGCAUGGAAUAAACUGCAUCAGUACGAAUGCACAAUGUGUACAUGCAGCACUGCAUAUACAGGCGUCUAAAUGUGUAUGUAUACGAGAAAUGUGUAAAUGUGCCGCUCUUGCUUGCUGUUAUUAAUAGUGCGCAUUUGCAAUUUGCAAUAUCUAUUGUUCACAUCUAAUUAAAACUACAUGGCGCUAUAACGAGACGACAAUUUCUCUCUCUUUUAAUUACACCAGAAAUGACUCGGGUUUCGCUCUUUUCAACAUUCAUGUAGAAAUGUUUGAUUCCUUUUAAUAAUAACAGCCGAUAGUUCGAGUCAUCGGAGGUACGAGCCAGAAAUUCGCGGAGAAAUUUUCAUCAUAGAGACAUUUCAUACGCGCGCCAACAUUUUCCGCAUGGCUGCUGUAUAACGAUACAUCGAUCAAAUCUGUCCACGUUACACGAGUAAUUUUCACAAUAGGAUCCAUAUCCAUUACCUAAUUGAUAGAUUGCAAGAAGUGCGAGUGUAACAUGAUGUUACAUGUAUUUUCUCUCGGUAGGUUCUAUCACUGUUCGCCGGUUACCACUGAUAAUGACGCGCAACGCGUCGAGAGGAGCAAAUCCAAUACGUUGCCAUUAUAUUGGAGCGCACGCUAACUCCCUUUAAUGCACCGCGCUAUGGUUUGGAAAUUGGCGAAUAAUGACUUCGAUAUCGAUUACAAAAUCGCGAUAAUAUGGAUCAGCGAUUCCUAUACGUAUCUCCUAAUAAUUUCCAAAUAUCUUGAUAAAGUAAACAAGGAUUACGCACUGACAAUUUACAUCGUGCCUUUUGUGAGAAACCUCCCUUCACCGAAGGAGCCACCACGGCGUUCGCAGUUCGAGUGGCUCUCGAAAAGAGUCGCGGCGGGAUCAUAAAGCCGUUCAAGUUGUUCAAGUUGUUCUACGUCGAAUGAUAUGGAUACUUACGUGCUAAGAGCGCAGAACUGUGGAAACUCUAUGGACUCGUGGGUCCUACAUGCGCGGUUCUCACACAGCGACAACAGGGAAUGGGUGUUGGAGCAUAAAGACUAAUUGUAAGCUCGUGUACGGCACAAGUUAUUUAGGCACAAGCGUGAAAACUUACGUAAUUCGCACAAAGAACACGCGUGUUACUAUAAUAGAGUCGGUUAUCAACUCGACUCGAAAUUUCUUCACGUGUCAAAGACUUGAAAACACAAAACAAGAAAAAACAAACACGAGACACUUCAAAUGCAUAACUAAAGAUAUCUUUUGAUGCUAACGCUGAACGCUCAUUUUAAGCAACAAAAGACGUGAUCAAAAAUAAAGAUAUCAAUUCGUUAUUGUUGGUCACGUCAUCUUUUGAUGUUGAAAAUGAGUAUCGAGUGGCGGUAUGAAAAGGUACCUUCAUAGGUAAUUUCUCUAAUUAUAUUUAUAAUUUAAUUAAAUCAAGUUUAUUAAUAUCUUAUAUAGUUGGCAUUCUCGACUACGUUAUUUUAUGAAAUAUAUAUGCUUCUGUGAAAUUACUUUUCUAAUAAUUUUUGGCAAAUUGCUUGACAAUUAUGUGAAGCACAAUGCAAAUUAAUAUAUUAAAAUAUUUUGUAUUAUUGUGUGCUCUUGUGCAGCCUGAAAAUUUCGAUGCGUCAGAAAAAUUUUAAUAUAAUUUUAUUUUAUUAAAAAAUCAUUAUUAUAUUAUUAUUAAACGUUUAUCUAUAUAAACGUUUAAUAAAUUCAGAGGUCGUGUAUUAUGAUAAAAAAGCUAAAACGAUGAAUAAACGUAGAUCUAAUUUAAAUUUAAAAAAAACUGUAAAAUUGAAUACGAAAGGAAAACGUGAAACAGUGUCACCGGUACGAAACUAGAACGAAUUCCAAAAAGACGCAAAAUCAAUAUUGAGAAGCGGAAGGUGGCCGGAUCCUCUUGGAGAUUUGCAGUGCAAAUAAAAUAUGCGAGCCAAGAGACAGAAACAGAAGAAGGAAGGUGGGGGCAGGCUAAAAGGGGUAUGUACGAGGUAAAGAAAACUUGGAUGCAUGCGGCGUGCCAAAUGAUGGCGCUUAGUAUUCCGCAGGACGGUUUGACUUCGUGAGUAGCAGCGGCCGUCGUCGACUGUAACGGAAGUGCCAAGUACCUAACGAAGUGGUGUCACAAAGUAAGCGAAGGAGGAACUAAAUGACUGAGAACAGUUAAAGAAAUCGAAUGAGAUCGGCGGAGAAUAAAUGAAUUAACCUACCGUUGUAAUGACCUACAUACAUAUACAUAUAAUUCGCGUGAUAUAUUCAAAUAAAAAGUUAACGCGACAACCGCAUUGUUGUUACAAUUAAAGAUUUUUUAUUUCAACCCCCGAUAAUAUUCAUUAAAUUGUUUUAUGAACUUAUGAAUUUAUUCUGUCAUUUUCUAAAGAUAAAAUUAUUGUAAAAUUUUGACUGCAUAUGUCAAAGUUAUGCCCAUUGUUAAUUCUAAUAUAAAUCUUAUCUAUUAAAAAUUACGAUUGUUUAUAACUUAUUUAAUUUAAUCAUUUAUAUAUUAAUAAAUUCAUUUAUCAAUUAUAUGUAUAUAAAUUUAUUUUUUUAUUUUAUAAUAUUUCAAGGUAAACCGAGGAUAAGUUUAUAAUGUGUGAUUCACUUUAAAAUCUACUAAUAUUAUCAAUGAAAUAUAAAGCUCACUAUAGUAGGUGCAAAACACAAUCUUACUUCUCAACUGCCACUACUGAGUAAUGUAUUUGCAACUUCAAAACAAAUAGCGAGAAACUCAACGAGCACUCUAUUAUGUACCAACUGUACUGUGGAGUUACGUCAUCGCGACCGACUUAAUAUCAAAGUAAUAAUUUGCAAUGUAUUUUUAUGAAUAAUUCUGAUUUAAUAAAAUAUGUUUCACCAAAGACUAAUAAUUUGCAUAUUGAAUAAUCAACCUGAAGAGAUCUUUUUAUAUUUAAUUUGCUUGUAGCUUAAAAUAAUUUUAAUCUAUACACGUUUAUACUUAAUUAAGCUAUACAAAAGUUAAUGUACUACUUAGCUUUUAAUCACAAGCUAUUAGGAAAUCGAUGAUCAAUAAAUCAAAUUAAAUUAGGAUGUGUUGGCAAGUUAAAUAAUUUCUGCACUUGAAACUUCGAAAGUGUAAAACAGAAAUUAUUAUUGGUAUGUAACCCAACUACCUCCUUCAUAUUUUCUCAAAAAAGUAGUUCAAAACAAAGCGAGAAUAUCGGAGCUCGUUAGAAAUGAAAUAAUGACCCGGAGUUGAGGGAAGUUUUAGUACGGAUAAGAGGUGCAGGAUGAAUAAAGAGACAUGAAUCUAGGAAAGGGGAGUAAGAAGGGAUUAGGAACAGACCUGAGCAAAGUUCCAGGGCAUGAGUAAAGACGCGAGCAGCGCGUCCCUCUGGAGAUAUUCAGUCUUGGCUGAACUACGACGGUCGAUUCGCGGGUUUCCAAGCAACUUCCACAACGUAUCUACCUAGUUUUAGCUGCCUCUCGGCGUUGAUUGCUUGCAAAUUGCAUUUCUUUAUUGAUGCCGUGUCGCUUUCUUCCGUCAGCGCCAGGUGAUCGCGCCGGUGCCGUCUUACGAUCAAAGUCUCAACUUUACCGCGCUCGCUCGUGUGUCCAGAUGAUUUCCGCACGAGAGAAAAGAGAUCGCUCUCUCUCCCUCUCUCUCUCUUUCUCUCUCUCUCCGAUAAGAAACAUUCUCAAACUUCAAAAGAGUCCUCUCUUUGAUGCACAACUGGAGAGUAGAAGUAAGAAAGAAAGUUGCAAAAGUUUAUUUAUACUAUGUGGUAUGCGAAGAUCGUGUUUCCGAAAUACUCUUUCAGUGUAAGAAAUUAGUUCCAUUAAGAGGAUCAAAAGUUUGUUCAAGAAAAUUCUACGUCAUAAGAUAUUUUUAUAUUAUUUUUCUUUCUCUUUCCUUCCCCCUUUCUUUUUCUCUUUCUUGCUUAGCAAAUUAAUUGAGAAUUACUCUUUCACGAAUCAUGACAUUCAUUAUUUGCAAACGUGAAGCAUUACUUCGGCUACCAAAAAAGCUGGGAUAUCACACAGUUCGACAAAAUUUAUAAACUGAUCUAAUUGAAGCUGCGACUAGAUUUGUUCCUGUUUAUCCAAUAAUAUAAUUUGCGCUUUUUAUUUUCCACAAUAUUUCUUGUCGCGACAGGUAUAAAAUGCCAUAUUAGUACAAACACAUCCUUGAUUUACGAGAUAUUUUUCACUCAGACCGACCUGCAAUCUAAUUAUUGUAUUUUUGCGACAAACUUCGAAAUGGAAAUUCGAUUUCCAUUUCUCUUUUUGAACUUUGUGAAUAGUGAAUUUAAUAAUUAUAAUUUCCAUCUCUCCCAUUCCCUCCUCUGUGCUCUUUCUCUCUCUCUCUUACGGAAUGGCAUAUUCUUCGGCAAGUUGUAAUUAAACGGUGGUUGUCCGCGAACUACCGCAAUUGCAGUGACAAUCUGCGGGUAGAAACGUUUUGAAUGCAAUUAACGUCGUGCUUUAACGAAGUUUCACUACCAGUCGGGAGACCAAUUUGGCGAUAAAAAAAA